Colius striatus (speckled mousebird) is the source of this 10630-nucleotide RNA transcript. It is a transcript of the gene named CD200 molecule, with no coding region annotated. Lineage: Eukaryota; Metazoa; Chordata; Aves; Coliiformes; Coliidae. The record is from RefSeq and is a predicted model, not a curated record. The transcript is spliced from 7 exons.
CCCCGGGCCGGGAGGGGGUGGCGAGUGGCCGCUGCGCCGUGAAUCACCGCUGGCCCCCAGCGCGGAAGCAGCAGCUCACGGCUCUUGCCUGGUGGUGUGGUGGGUUCCUGGGCUGUCCGCUGCCCUUUCUAACCAGGGGGACACCCCCUACACCCCCCCACGAGGGGCCGAACUCACGCAGCGGUUGCUUUGUGAAGCUGGUGUGACGCCUGAAGCCGGCAAGGACAAGUAGCGCCGAGUAGUGACUGGAACACGAGUAUAAGAAGUUUGUAAAAGUUGGCGGUUUCACAGAAGGUCGUGGAGGAUUCGUGAAUCCAGCGUUGGGAGCCCUCUGAGGUGCGGUUUGGGCAAAGCAGAUUCUUCCCUUCAAAAAAAUGACUUUCCGAGCUCUGGUUUUGUGUCUGACUUGUGCUGAGCUUGCAAAGGCAAAUGUGGUUCCACAGAUUGAACGCAGAAAUGUGAAGGUGGGUGACAAUGUGACUCUCAGCUGUGCCCUGAGAGAACCCAUGGAUGUUCUGCAAGUGACGUGGCAGAAGGACUCUGGAAAAUCACGCAGUAAUAUAGCUACAUACAGUGCCAUAACAGGAUUAAAGAUUCAUGAGCCCUAUCAAGACCGAAUGAAUUUCACAAGUAUGGUACUCAAUGAGACAAGCAUCACUUUUUGGGACACUAGAAUGGAUGAUUCAGGGUGUUACACAUGUCUCUUCAAUGCUUUUCCUCAUGGCUCGUUGUCGGGACGCACCUGCCUGAGUGUCUUUGGUCUCAAUGCAUCUGUCCAUUACAACAUUUCCGGAGGUCAUUUGGUAGCCAUCUGUAAUGCUGUUGGCCUUCCAGAGCCCACCAUCACCUGGAACAACUUAUUCAAUUCUACUCCUACACAGGAGACAGUCAGGCACACCAAUGGGAUGGUGUCCAUCACCAGUAAACUGGAGAUCUACAACUCUCAGAGCAUCGGUGCACAGAACUUGGCCUGCAGAGUAAGCAACAGGAAUGAAAAAAUGGAAUUGCCUGUGAGAAUGGAAAGAGAAGAGGGAUCUUCAUUGCUUUGGCUGACAAUUGCUGUGGGAGUUUUAAUUGUUGUCAUAGUUCUGAUUCUGAUCACACUGUGCUGGAGGAAGAAAAUAUGCAGGAGAGGUUGAAAUGGAUCCUAGGGGAUUUCCAUUCACCCACCAGAUCAUUACAGCCCAGCCCAGCAGCCUGAAGUCAACAUUAGAAGCAGUGAUUUGACUGUCUGGAAAGAAGCAGCAAUAAAAGAAAAUACAACACAUACACUACACUACCCUGUCUAGAUGCCCAGCUGUAUGCUGAAAAGACUAGUGCAAUGUUUGUUAUCCAGUCUAGAUGCUUAAUCAUAAACAGUAGUACCAGAGGGACCACUUAGUCCACUCCUGCUGCCAGGCAAAAACUACUUUGUUCAUGCCACUUAUGGUGCUGCUAGUGUGUAAAAUAUAUUUGCCUUCUUCCAACUGACUUUUGAAAACAACCAUGGAUGAAGGCUCUAUAAGCUCUCUGAGAAUUCUCUUCCAGUGCCUAAUUCCUCUUGCAGUAAAGAGGGGCUUAAUUUUUACCAAUAUCUGUCUGCAAUUCCACUUGCAGCAACUUGAUGUUCAUUCCCCUCUUCCUACCAUUUACUUUUCCCUCUCUUAUCCAGCUGAUCCAGUUCCUUUUCCUCAGUGAAUGCCUGAAUAUACCAGUGUAUGCAAUGACUCUCUCUGGAGAGACAUGCUGGACUUAAAACCACAGGACUCAAAUCACACCAAAUCUGUUGAAAUUACUGGGAAAGAGCGAUAGGGCUCCAAGUAGGUCACAGAUUAGAGAGAGUAGCAACCACAGUUGAAAAAGAAGAGGUGUAAGUAAUUUAUUUUAUUUGGCUUUUCUUGGGAUGUUUGGGGUUUUUUAAUAUUUUAAAUAUUUUUAUAGAUAAAUGAGGAGGAGAUGGAAGCAAAGCAGAAGUAUUGACGUCUCCAUCUUUCCUUUCUGUUCUGCUGCCAUUCUCUCUCUGUUUUUUUUUUUAUGAAACAACUCCUUUGAUACUCCAGUCUACUCCUACCUUGGCUGUCAAAAUACAUGGACUGUUUGUCAAUAGUUCUUGUGAUCAUCUUGUGCACUGUCCAGAAUAGUCUCCCUUGUCUUCAUCUUUUUUUGUUGUGUCUUUUUAAACACAGAGAAAUCAUUUUGCUGCCCAAAAGCAAAGAUCCGUACUUGUAUCUUCUUGUGGGGGAUUUUACACCCUGAGCUAACUAUCAUGUGUCACUACUGUGAAUGUAAUGGUAUCAGUGGGGAGUCAUACAGAGGCUGAAUUUACUGUUUUGCUAUGGUUUUGGUAGCAGAUAAAGACACAGCACAACUCUUACAUGUUGAGGCCUAACUCUGCUCCUGCCCCAAGUAGGAUUGGAGUUUCUCUCCCCACUACCAUCCCCCAUGCUUCUCACUACCUGCCCAAGCCUGCUGAUCUUGGCUAUUCCAGAUUUGAUGCUCCUGUUUUCUGCCAUUUGUACUGGCUGUGUGUCAGCAGACUCAUUGUGAGAGCGAAGCACUCCUGGGCAUUGCCUUUGAGCUCAUCUUGUUUGUGAGGGUCAAUCAGAACCUUGGCAUGCCCUCUGCCUCCUGACACCUCCAUAGUGCUCAGAGACUGCUCCACAAGGUGAAGGUUACAAAAAACAAGCCUGUCUCUGGGCAUACUGAUUUUGUGGCCCAUUUUACUGAGAGAACAGAAAGACAAUGGUUCUGCAGAGGGCCCUCUGCUGAUUUUUGUUCUGCUGAGAAAUGCUAAUGUUUAAGGUGUUUAUCUUCCUUCUGUCUGAAGGAGUUUGUAGUGAGGUGGGGGUUAGUCUCUUCUCCCCAGUAAUGAAUGAGAGGACAAAAGGAAAUGGGCUCAAGCUGCACCAGGGAAGGUUUAGACUGGAGAUUAGGAAGAAGUUUUUCACUAAGAAGGUUUUCAGACACUGGCACAGGCUGCCCAGGGAGAUGGUGGAGUCACCAUCCCUGGAGAUAUUUAAAAGAUGCGUAGAUGAGGACACUGCAGAACACUUGCAGUGAUGGACUUGGAAGUGUGAGGUUAGUGGUUGGACUUGAUGAUUUUAAAGGUCUUUUCCAACCAAAAUGAUUCUAUAAUUCUAUCAGUCAUUGUAUUUCAAUUUCUACCAAUAUCCUCUUGUCUUUUGGGUUUGGUUAGUGUUUCUUUAUGCAUUCUUAAAUAUUCCAUCUUGCCAAGCACAUAGCAUUUUGGAUAGUGUUUUUUAUGUCAUAUGUUUACCAAGAGUGCAAGCUGUCAAUCUAAAAAAUCAACUGAGAAGAUUUAGCAGAUACAAGACUUAGGACCAAGUGUUCAGAGCUGAUAUUUUGUUGGUUCCAAAUCAGCAGCCUCUCUAGAGUCUGGCAAAUAAAGUUGCGUUUAUUACUGAGGACAUGAGGGGCAACAUUUACUGUUACUGUCAGUGCAAUAUGAAUUAUUUAUUUAUAUAUUUCACUUUUAUAAUUAAAAAAAAGAAUCCAAUCCAGCCAAAACAGCAAUUGGUCUUUUCUUCUUCUUCUUCUUCUUCUUCUUCUUCUUCUUCUUCUUCUUCUUCUUCUUCUUCUUCUCCUUCUUCUCCUUCUUCUCCUUCUUCUCCUUCUUCUCCUCCUUCUCCUCCUUUUCCUCCUUCUCCUCCUUCUCCUCCUUCUCCUCCUUCUCCUCCUUCUCCUCCUUCUCCUCCUUCUCCUCCUUCUCCUCCUUCUCCUCCUUCUCUUUCUCCUCCUUCUUCUUCUUUCUGAUCGUUUGGAUACCAGAAAUGCUUCUUUGCAAGUGAGGGUUUCUGUGGUUUCAUGCUUUGCUUCUUUUCUGUACAGAAAGUGGGACUUCAGGGAGUUUUUAAGGUGUUUUGGUUUUGGGGUGGAUUUUUUUUUUUCAAGACUUUUGAGAGAAACAGCUUUUGAGAUUAAUAUACAGAAUUAUUUUUGACCACAGUUGCUGAGGUUUACUUCAUAUUUGAAACUAACUUCAGUUGAUCAAAAAAUUGUGGUUUGUAUUUUUAGAGCUAUUAUAUUUGUGUGUCAUGUUUCUCACUUGUUUUUGAUCUGGGGUUACAUGCUCUGCUGAUGUAUUUGCCCUGUUUUCUGAAUUUGCCUUUGCUGGAAAGAAGCCUAAUAAAGCAACUUUGAACAUAAGACUACAUGAUUACUUUCAUUUGUGGCACACUGCUUAUGAGCUUGUAUAAAUUGAUGAGAGAAGCAUCACAUAUGAGCUCUUAAGUGCAUUAAUAAUUCUUUGGAAAGGCAAUAGUGACCUAGUGUUUUCUUUAAGAGAAAGACCUUUUGAGGAAAAUUAUGAAACCACAAUUGUUUUUCUUUGUCAUGGCAUCAACUUGCACUUUUCUUCUUCAAAGAUAUGAUGGUGAGAAACUUAGAUCUGGUUAAAAAGACAUGACAAUGCUGUGUAGCAGCUGACUCGGGUUUAUGUCCAAGGUCUUGCAGUAGAAGGCAGCAAUCUAUUGCCUGUCUGAGCAUUGCCAGUUGGUAGAACAGAAUAGGAAUGGAAUGGAAUGGAAUGGAAUGGAAUGGAAUGGAAUGGAAUGGAAUGGAAUGGAAUGGAAUGGAAUGGGCAACUUCUAGAGGUUUUGAGAUUAUAACAUGAACUCCUCUCCUGGUCUUUAAAUGAUGGUUUCUGGAGAACUUCCUACUAGAUACUGGUCAGAAAAGUCUUGCUGCUGACAUACGUCACUCUGAGUGAUAAGAAUUAGUAGUUUCUCCUGGGAAUUUGGCACUCUUGAGAUCAGCCAAGUCACCUCUCCAUGCACAAAAUAGAAGGUAGCAGAGGCAGCAGCACCACUGCCCUGAGCACUGUGUGAGGCAAGCUGUGGUUUUCCAGGCAGAAGGGUAGUUUUUAUCAUGCAGAAGGGCUGCUUGCCAUUGCCAAGGAGUUCCUGGCAGAGCUGGGUUGAGCAUUGCUUGUCUCACCAGUCACAGAGUGAGUUGCGCUGGCAGAGCAGGGCAGGAACCAAACAGUGAUGGCUGGGGAAACAGGCUGGGGCUGAGUUAUGGUAACAGGGUUGAAUGACCUUAGAGAAAAUAGACUAGCCAUCCUGAAUUUCACAAAAUUAAACAAAUGCAGAGUAGCAGGCUUCCUCAGGGAAACCUCAAGGUUGCUAUAAAACCAGUGAAAGGUUGUGCUUUUUUUGGCUGACAGUCUUCUCAUUGCAACCUGUUAAGAUGUUGUCUUUUGUUUUUGAGUAACAAUCAAUUGUUUAGUUCCUACAGCCGUGUCCUCUCUUUGUGAUUUUUUGUCCCUGGCAUGCUCAAGGGUUCCAUUAUUCUUAUUCUUGAAUUGUGCUGACGUAUGGUGCAGGAAGGCAAAGUGUCUGCGAGAUGACAACGUCUAUGUGUGGCUGUGGGCCUUCAAAAUCCCAGCAGGUAGGGCCAGGUUCUUAGAAAAGAGGGGGUUUGCAAAAAAAGAAUAAGUUCUAAUGAUUUUUCUGAUCUUUUUUUUCUUUUUAUCUCAGAUGUUUUCUCAUUGCCUUGCCGUAGCGACCACACAGCCUGAGGUUGGGGCAGCUACUCCAGCUGCCUCUGAAGAAAUGGCAAAUGCAUUUUUUCCUCUGUUCUUUCUUCAUUCCUUUCGGAUCCACGAAUUUUGCCUCUGCACAGUAUAUUUCCAGUUUCCAGGUCUUAGAAAUAUUGGAUGCUUCUGGUUGACUCUUUCCCUGUCCUGUUGUCCCAUGUGCCUGCACUUCUGUGUUGCCUGGCUGCUGUCCUGCUGACUAAAGUGCAAUUUGCUUUGCAAGCAUAGUAGUGGCUGUUCUCAAAGUCUGCUGCAUAACAAGAUGUCAAGGAAGUACAGGAUAAUUUUAGAAGCUAAGAAGAUGAGGGAAAGACCUUGUCUGGAUUUUUGUUUUCAGGCCCUUAAAAUGGGCCUAAAUUAGCAGCAGAAUUGGUACAUAAAAAGCUUUCAAAUUUAAGUUAAAAGCACUUAAAUGUGUGUUUUCCAAGACCACGUGCAACAAGCGAUAUUCACUUUAUGUAUACAGAUAUCACCUGCUGCCUUCUCUCUGGGACCUCAUGCCAUUUUUCAUUCAUAAAAUGUUUCUAUUUCCAUGGCCCUCUCAUGCAGGUCUGUUUCUGUACAGUCAGCCACCUAAUGGCCCACUGAUCAUUUUGUGUGCCAAAAGAAAGUUGCUUCAUGGUGUUUCCAAUGUCUCUGAAAGCUCAGCACUAGUGCUGGGGUGGCAAAAGUGCCUUCAGACAUUCAGUAGCUUCCGUGUGUCAUUUAAAAAAUGUGUCAGGAUGGAGUCUAAGGCGGGCUGUCUGCCUGGCCUGAGUAGGAAAAUGUAUGGGAAAUGAGUUUCUUAGUCAACCGCUCCCCCAACUGCUGAACCCCUUGUGCUGAAGCAAGAGAGGCUAUCUGCAGCUUCCGUGUGCCAAGAGAAUUGAGAUCCCCCUUCGAGACCAAGGGUCCUUCUGCCAUGGGAUACAUAGGGAUUGCUCAAAGGAGAUGAAAAUGACAGGAGCUUGGUGCUUUGAGUCAUUCUGUCUGCAAGAGGGAAGUGUGGCUGCCUGGAUGGACAGAACUGGGCAGUACAGAAGAGGAUUACAGCCCUGCCCUUGCUAAUCUGGAUUUCCUUAAGGAAAUGGAAGAGAUGAAUUACUAGGCUGCAAUUAGUAAGGAAAUUCACUUCUGGAAAACAAUGUAGCUGAGCAUAGCAGGCUGACAAAGGGAAAUGGAGUGUCUUCCGCUACUUACUUGAAACAGGGUUUGAGCAGAUCACUCAGUGGUAGAUGAAUUAUGUCUCAGACAGAUUGCCUGUUCUAGCAAUAAUUAACAAAUUCUUAGUUAAGUAUUUUGGUGAGGAAACGUGCUAUGAGAGAAUAAUUUAUAUUUGUUUUCAUCCACUCUUAAAAUGUUUCUGAUUUCAACUUUUCUUCCCAAUUAUGUCCUUCCCUGUUCAGAUUUCCCUGACUUCUUGUUCCUCUCAGUCCUGGACAAGUCCCUUCUGGUUGCUCUUUUGUUCUUUGCAAAGAAUUUUGCCUGAAGAGUGUUGUUUUGUUGCUUCUCUGUACACACUCUCUAUCUGACUGCUCCUUUUCCCUCUCUGAUACCCAAGAGUUCACAGCGGUCACUCCAUCGUGUGAAAGUUACCAUCUCCCAGGGUCACAGUAACCACACAGUGGAAGUAGCUAAGAGGUACAGGCAAAGAGAAUGUGCAGCUGUGAGUCUAAUUGAGUAACAUGAUUGGCAUUUCACCACGGAGAAAAAGGGAAGCCUACUUUCACCACUGUUGCAAUACUGUAAAGUUUGGUUUAUAUUAAGCAACUGGGGAUUUCAGCUAACUGAUUUUAGGUAGAGGUGAAAAAUACUGGUGGUUUUCUGCCUCCUUUACCAUCACACAAUCUGGGAUAAGAAAUCAAAAGGUAACUAUGGAAUCUCUUGGUGAGGCUUGUUUUCUUGCUGGACCAGCCAGCACUCUGUGUUGAUGAGAACAGCACUAGGAAAAUACAUGAGGCUUUGAUGAAAACGUUGGACAGCAUGGAAGGCGUAGUGGUUUGUUUCCCUGCCCAGCCCUGAGCAUCCCAGCAGGAACCUGCAUGAGAGUGGUUGCGCUGGGAGAGAUGAGAGAGCUCGUGUGUCCUGCUCUGCCUCCAAAUCACACACCUGGAGUCAAGCAGCUGCUUAUGCAUGCCAAGCUAUGCUUCUCUCUUGACCUGUCUGCCAUGAGUGUAAAUCUGCAUAUGUGUUGGGCAGCCACCCAAAGGACUGCCUAGCAGCCACAGUGCUGCUGUAGCAGGUGCUUUGCUCUUCCACCAGGGUGCCCUUGUGUACCUAAUUCUUCUUUAAAUCACUAUGUUUCUCUACAGAUAAGGAGACAUGGGAAGAGAGAUAUGGAACUUUCUCCAGUCUUUGUGGAAGAAUGGGGUUGGAAUUUGGAAUCAAACAAGGAUGAGGACGACUCCUGGCAUUCUUCCCCUGCUUCAACACGGAGUUCCUCCCCUGGGACACAGUCCUUAAUGAACUUCUCUGGUGUUGUUCCCAACAGCUGUGGCUUCUGCCAAUACAGGGUCCCUCACAUGGGAUGCAGCCCUUGGUGAAUAUCUCUGGCGUGGAUUCUUCACUACAAUUGCAGUUUCUGCAGUUACAGGGUCCCUCUCUCGGGACAAGGCCUCUUCUGGGCAUAAGUUUAAUGAGCUGUUUUGUCAUGGGUUCCUUCCCACAGUUACAACUGUGAAUAUUGGGUCCCUUCCUCACGACAUGGCCUGCUCCAGCCAUAGUGAUAAAGGGUCCAUUCUUCAGGACAUAGCCUCUUUCGACCAUAGUUUUAAUGAAGAAAAUCACUGCCCCUGGCUCAGGGUCUAUAGUGAAGUUACAGGGUCCCUCCCAUGGGACACGGCCUCCUCCAGCCAUGGUCACUGUCCCUGGCUCGGGGCCUUUAAUGAAGUGAAUCUCUGCCCCUGGUCCAGGGCCAGCUUUAGCAACAUGAGUCUCUGCCCCUGGUACAGGCUCAUUAUCAAAAUGAGUCUCUACCGCUGAUGUGGGGUCUUCAAAGAAAUGAAAAUAAAUCUCAGCUUCACCAAUUCUCUCCAUAGAAUGCAGGGGAGUCUCUGCUCCAGCACACCUUCUCCUUUAUCUCAUCACUGACCUUGGAGUCCACAUGGUUGCUUCUCUCACUGUUCCUACUCCUUGCACCACCACCAGCCAGAAGAAGAAGAAGGGUUAGAAGAAAGGGAAGAAACAGGAAGAAGUAGGAGGAAGCCUCUUCUUCUGGCUUCUUCUUAAAAAGUGAUCGUGGAGGUGUCUAAUUGGCUCAGCCCCAGCAGUGUGUCUGGUUUAGAGCUGGGGAGAGUUGUGAGCAACUUCUUACAGGAGCCAUCUUUACAGCCCCUUCCCCCGUACCAAAAGAGGCUGUCAUGUCAAAUCAUGACACACUGAAAGAGCAGAAAUCCCAGUCUCAGAGACUAGUGACACAAGUUCAUGAGAUGUGGGUGGUUGGCGGUCUACCAAGAGUGAGAAAAGCUGAGGGAGAGUCCUUUCUGUCUGGUCCUGUCCCCUCUGAAUUAGUAAGGAAACAAAGGCAGUGUGAAGUCCUGUGACUGACCCGCAGCAUCAGGCUGCAGGAGUUGCUCAGUAUGGCCUUGUUUAACACCUGAGGCUGAGGUUUUUAUUGUGGUUUCAGAGUUGUGUUUCCUGUUAAGUGCAUUUUGGGUCUCUGAAGAGUUUAUUUUUUGAGUGCUCCACUAGACUUAGCUCAGGUUCACAUGAGAACUGGGCUCUGAGUCUUCAGAUUCAUUUCUUUUUGUGCUGUUCAGGCCAGAUUUGGCUGAGAAACUUUGUUUGUCUGAUGUUGGAUUUGGAAAAGAUAAAACUCUGCUGUGGGAUAAAUGGGGCGCCUAACAGUUGAUACAAAGAACUUGUUAUGCCUUUAUUUUUUGGCAUAUAAGCAGCACUCUCAUCUAUGGAAAAAAUCUCUCCAUUCCCACAGGAACCAUAUCUGCUGUCCACCCCAGAUAUUUUCCCUCACCCUUCUGACACAGCUUUGCAUGUUUAUCUAGCCAACAUAAAGAAACUAGGGGUAAAAUUGGCUCUAGAAAGCAGUGUAGGCACCCCAGCAUGGAGGAAAAACUGUUACACUAAAAGCAGGGAAGACAGAGCCAUUGCAAAAGGUGGGACAUGGACACCUCAAAUGACAUAAGCAACUAAGUAAACAGACUUGAAUAGAUUUCUGAUUUCCCAGAAGCAUUCCUCAGGACAUCGUGUUUAGUGAGGUGAGAUGUUUCUUCAAGCUUCUCUACGUUAGGUGAAAGGUCAGCAUUUAAUAUAAGCGGAGAAGUAGUCCCAAAAACUGCAUAUUUGUUUCUGCUGGUCUUUGUGACCAUUUUAUAAGUCUGAAAAUUUGAGGGGAUAAGUAGAAAGCAAGAAGCAUGAACUUAUUUGAUAUCAACCUAAUUUGUAUUAUGCGGCUAAUAUGGCAAAUUAUUCAACACAAGCUGUAAAUCCUCUGCUCAGUGAUUUUACACCACUCUUGGGGUAGCAGAGGUAGACUUAAUUUAAUAUCCUUGCUUUGUUUGCUUGUACUGUGUGCAGAACAGCUGUUUUGAUGGUGUGUUGUGUAAUCCAUUCUGUUACAUCGUGGGUUUGGACAGGUGCAGCUUUCAUAUAGUUACGUGUGGAUGGAUGGUAAGCUGACACUAGAGUAAGCUCCUAGCAGGAUCUGGGAACCCAUGGAGAGAGUAGUCCACACCAGAGCAGGUUUGCUGUCAGGACUUGUGACUCCAUGGGUGACUCAUGCAGGAGCACUUCAUUCCUGAAGGUCUGUUUAACUUGUGGAUAAGACCCAUAUUGGGGCAGUUCGUGAAGAACUGUAUCCCAUGGGAAGGACUCACUUUGGAGAAGUUUAUGGAGGACUGUUUCCCAUGGGAGAGACCCCACACUGUAGCAGUGGGAAGUGUGAGGAGGCCUCCCCUUAGAGGAAGUAGCAGCAAAGCCCGUCUGUAAUGAACUGACUGUAACCCUCAUUCCCCAUCCCCCUGCACCAAUGUGGGGAAGGAGGGAGAAGCCCAAGAAGAAGGAGGGAGUGACGGGAGAUGUUUUAAGGUUCAGUUUGUAUUUCUUAUUUUCCUACUCUGUUUUGAUUGACUGUUAAUAAAUCAAACCAUUUCUCCUCAA